GCGACACGCAGACAGACCACGGUUCUCGGCCCGUUCCCUGAGACAGAUGGGUGUGAGGUAGCUCCAGUUUGGAGUCCAUCCAGUUGCAUUAGCUCAUGCUGUGAUAGAGCUAAUUAGUUCUACUAAAAGCUCGAAUCUGACAGUGUCCAGCUGGGGAGGCAUGACCUGAGAAAGGAAAAUGCUGAGACUUCUUAAAGCCCUAUUGUACUUGACAAUAUCAUCUUUUAAGAGAAGCUAGCUACACUGGCUGUAGAAAGGAGGAGGGAAUUGUGAAUUAUAUCUAUGACAGAGGCCAAUCUGACUGGACCAUCAAUGAGAAAAUUCUGGACUUCCUCUGAAAAAGUAGAAUAUCUUCUCAUUGGUUGGCACAGAGAGUUCCAGGAUCAGUCUGUCACAUCGCUUGCAUGAGAACAUAGAACAAUCAGAACAGCGUGUUUGGAAAAAUCUUCAUCUUCUACUUUUACUUUGCAGCCUUAUUCACAUAUGCCUGGAUAUGUUUAUGAAACAAUUCAGUCACUAGUCUUAUGCAGUAAUAUGUAUACUUUCCUGCAAUGACUACAAGAUUUACCAAAGAGUAAAAUUAUAGAGUUACAGUAACAAUAGAGUUAAUAUUAAGCAAUAAUGAGAUAGGUACAGUAAUAAAGACCUUAAAGCAAGAACGGAAAGAUUCCCAUUUUACUUCAUUACAAAAAUUCUCCAGCAGUUUUCUUAGUAAAGAAAGGAGUUGAAGUAAAAUAAGAAACCUACACGGAGGAUGCAGCUCAAAAUGACAGUCUUGAAAGUGUAAGUGUUCUUGCAAAAAUGCAUAAACUGUAUAGAAAAACUCUAGAUUCUGCAGAGUGAUUCAUUAUUUUAAUGACUUCCUGCCUUACUGUAGAACCUCUGUUUUCCUUAGUGCAAGCUGUUUGAAUCUCUGCUAAGGAUUUAGACUUACAAUGAAGCUUUUAUAACUUUCUGGAUCUUUGUCAUAUUGGCACGUGGGUCUUUCUCUUUAUGUAAGGACAAGAAGGAGGCGGAGAGGAGUUGCCCUGCGGGGAUAACGAAAAAUUCAAACCUGAACUGGCCAAGCACUGUUCUGAAAUAGAGUGAUUUGCUUUUUCCCUUAGGAGCUACAUGCUGGCAGGUAGUAAGUGUGGAGGAAAUUUGAGCAUGUUUCAAUGCUAUCUGUUCCAGCAGAUGUCACUAAGAGGUAAUGCUGUUUAUAGGUAGGCCAAAUCAGAGACAAACAGGUAUUUUAAACUAUAAAAAUAUAGAAAAGCUUUUCCUAGCUAGUAAAGUAAUGUUUUGCCACUGAAACAUUUUUUUAGCUUCCAAAUAGGACUUUACUUUGGAUCCAGGUCUGGAAAUAGCCUCCUGUUUUCCAGUAUAUUUCAAAAGCUAUGGUAAUAUAUACUCUCUAUAGAAAACUGUAUGGAGAUCAGGAGAUGAGUUAAGUGCCAUUGCUAAAGAAAAAGCAAAGCUUUAAGAGAAACAGAGGUGUAUUCCUCUCUAGAAAAUGUAUCUUUCUAAAGAGGGCAGCUACCUAAUUUGCCAAUGUUGCAAAGAUCUAAGUCUCUUAGACCCUGUAAUGUGCAGUUACACCAUUGUAACACUGUUAGGACUGAAAGCCCUAUUGUUAAGACUGAAAGUCUUCUGAUUAUUAUGCCAACAAAAAUGAACAUUCAGAGAA
Long non-coding RNA from Struthio camelus australis, 1669 nucleotides. RefSeq lists it as uncharacterized. The record is from RefSeq and is a predicted model, not a curated record. Lineage: Eukaryota; Metazoa; Chordata; Aves; Struthioniformes; Struthionidae.